Molecule: long non-coding RNA, 533 nt
Filed under: Olea europaea (common olive)
Lineage: Eukaryota; Viridiplantae; Streptophyta; Magnoliopsida; Lamiales; Oleaceae
Description: long non-coding RNA (OEUR_LNC007926)
Source: RNAcentral
UUCUGUCAUACACCAUUCUAUAUUGACUCCAUUAUGAGACAUAAAACAAGGGUCAAAAAAUGCGGCUAAUCCAUGCAGUUGAAAUUCUGAUUUCUGGAUCCAUAAUGAAGGUCACAGAUUUUGACAGUGAUCUACACGUUACCAAAAGUGAUGUAUCCAUUAUAAACAGUCCAAAAUUGCUGACUUGCUCUUGAUGCAAUUGAAAUUCAUUAUAAAAUGAUCCGAAACUACAAAUGUCUAAAAGGCAGAUGAAAUUCAGAACCCAAAAAAAAACUUAAAAUGGACACGGACAGAAUUUAAAAUCAAUACUAACUGUGCCAAAAAUUUCGAGAUCCGAUUUUGCCGAAUGCAUCAAGAAUAAUUCUUAAACUUAACAGUUUAAGGAAUUUCACAAAAUUCAAACAUUCUAUUCGAGAAAAAUAAUCCAAAUAUCAUACAAAUAGAACAUGCACAAAUCCUAAUAAUCUAGCAAAUGAUGACCGCUCUGAUACCACUUGUUAGAAAAUCAAAUUAGAUCCAAAUAUAAAUUAAAU